UACGUAGGCAGCGAGCGUUGUUCGGAGUUACUGGGCGUAAAGGGUGUGUAGGCGGUUGUUUAAGUUUGGUGUGAAAUCUCCCGGCUCAACUGGGAGGGUGCGCCGAAUACUGAAUGACUUCGAGUGCGGGAGAGGAGAGUGGAAUUCCUGGUGCAGCGGUGAAAUGCGUAGAUAUCAGGAGGAACACCGGUGGUGUAGACGGCUCUCUGGACCGUAACUGACGCUGAGACACGAAAGCGUGGGUAGCAAACAGG
RNAcentral lists this ribosomal RNA (254 nucleotides) under uncultured bacterium. RNAcentral describes it as "partial 16S ribosomal RNA". It matches the Rfam family "Bacterial small subunit ribosomal RNA", at positions 524 to 776 of the family's 1533-position model. The record is from RNAcentral.